AUUGAACGCUGGCGGCAUGCCUAACACAUGCAAGUCGAACGGAGGUAGGGGCAACUCUACUUCAGUGGCGGACGGGUGAGGAAUGCGUCGGAAUCUACCCUAUGGUGGGGGAUAACACAGGGAAACUUGUGCUAAUACCGCAUAAUGUCGAGAGACCAAAGCAGGGACCGCAAGGCCUUGCGCGAUAGGAUGAGCCGACGCCCGAUUAGCUAGUGGUAGGGUAAAGGCCUACCAAGGCGACGACCGGUAGCUGGUCUGAGAGGAUGAUCAGCCACACUGGGACUGAGACACGGCCCAGACUCCUACGGGAGGCAGCAGUGGGGAAUAUUGGACAAUGGGCGCAAGCCUGAUCCAGCAAUGCCGCGUGUGUGAAGAAGGCCUGCGGGUUGUAAAGCACUUUUGUUCGGGAAGGAAAUCAUGCUGGUUAACACCU
Molecule: ribosomal RNA, 433 nt
Filed under: uncultured bacterium
Lineage: Bacteria
Description: bacterial SSU rRNA
Rfam family: Bacterial small subunit ribosomal RNA
Source: RNAcentral